Acanthosepion pharaonis is the source of this 113-nucleotide non-coding RNA. The record is from the annotation of a GenBank genome assembly. Lineage: Eukaryota; Metazoa; Mollusca; Cephalopoda; Sepiida; Sepiidae.
UUACGGCCACAUCACGUUGAAACACCGGUUCCCGUACGCUCACCGAAGUUGAGCAAUGUCGAGCUGGGUCAAUACAUAGACGGGUGACCGCUUGGGACUACCAUGUGCUGUUA